CUACGGGCGGCAGCAGGCGCGAAACCUUUACAAUGCACGAAAGUGUGAUAGGGGAACUCAAAGUGCUUUACUUAGGUAAGGCUUUUGCCAAGUCAAAACCGCUUGGCGAAUAAGUGGUGGGUAAGACGGGUGCCAGCCGCCGCGGUAACACCUGCGCCACAAGUGGCAAGCAGCAUUAUUGGGCCUAAAGCGUCCGUAGCCGGUUUUGUAAGUCUUCUGUGAAAUUGUUGAGCUUAACUUAACAGCGUGCAGAAGAAACUGUAAAACUAGGAACUGGGGGGAGUCAGAAGAAUUUCUGGGGGAGCGGUAAAAUGUUAUAAUCCCAGAAGGACUACCAGUGGCGAAAGCGUCUGACUAAUACAGGUUCGACGGUGAGGGACGAAAGCCAGGGGAGCAAUCCGGAUUAGAUACCCGGGUAGUC
RNAcentral lists this ribosomal RNA (421 nucleotides) under uncultured archaeon. Its description in RNAcentral is "partial 16S ribosomal RNA". It matches the Rfam family "Archaeal small subunit ribosomal RNA", at positions 323 to 746 of the family's 1478-position model. The record is from RNAcentral.